Molecule: non-coding RNA, 225 nt
Organism: Pelobates cultripes (western spadefoot toad)
Lineage: Eukaryota; Metazoa; Chordata; Amphibia; Anura; Pelobatidae
Source: the annotation of a GenBank genome assembly
UGCGAUCGACGUUUCAUCCAACAUCCGUGGCUUUCAUCAGGAUCAGUACAGUACUGAUGUUGGCUGAAACGUCGAUCACAUUUUAAAGGAAUGAAAUAAAGGAACCUUUUAAAAGAAAAAAGACCGUGAGUGGAAGCCAUUUUUCAAUAUUCAUAUGUUAAUUUAUGGCAUUGGCUAAAGUGCACCCGGCAUUUUGAAAUUUAAAGUGUGUGUGCAAAGACACAG